Molecule: ribosomal RNA, 229 nt
Filed under: uncultured bacterium
Lineage: Bacteria
Description: partial 16S ribosomal RNA
Rfam family: Bacterial small subunit ribosomal RNA
Source: RNAcentral
UGCGUAGGCGGAAUAUUAAGUCAGUGGUGAAAUCCUGCGGCUCAACCGUAGAACUGCCAUUGAUACUGAUAUUCUUGAAUGUAGUUGUGGUAGGCGGAAUGUGUAAUGUAGCGGUGAAAUGCUUAGAUAUUACACAGAACACCGAUUGCGAAGGCAGCUUACUAAACUAUGAUUGACGCUGAGGCACGAAAGCGUGGGGAGCGAACAGGAUUAGAUACCCUGGUAGUCC